AAUGAACGUUGGCGGCAUGGAUUAGGCAUGCAAGUCGGGGGAAUCCCAGCAAUGGGGGAACCGGCGUAAGGGGCAGUAAGGCAUGGGUACCUACCUUGGGGUUCGGGAUAGCCAUCAGAGAUGGUGGGUAAUACCGGAUGACGUCGUGAGACCAAAGAUUUAUCGCCCUUAGAGGGGCCCAUGUGAUAUUAGCUAGUUGGUGGGGUAACGGCCCACCAAGGCGAAGAUGUCUAGCGGGUGUGAGAGCACGACCCGCGCCACUCGCACUGAGAAAAUGGCGAGACACCUACGGGUGGCUGCAGUCGAGGAUCUUCGGCAAGGAGCGCAAGCUUGACCGAGCGAUGCCGCGUGAGCGAUGAAGGCCUUCGGGUUGUAAAGCUCUUUAGUGGGGGAGAAAAGCCGCAAGGUGUGAUCUAUCCCAAAAAUAAGCACGGGCUAAGUUCGUGCCAGCAGCCGCGGUAA
Molecule: ribosomal RNA, 462 nt
Filed under: uncultured bacterium
Lineage: Bacteria
Description: partial 16S ribosomal RNA
Rfam family: Bacterial small subunit ribosomal RNA
Source: RNAcentral